Molecule: ribosomal RNA, 948 nt
Filed under: uncultured Rhizophagus
Lineage: Eukaryota; Fungi; Glomeromycota; Glomeromycetes; Glomerales; Glomeraceae
Description: eukaryotic LSU rRNA
Rfam family: Eukaryotic large subunit ribosomal RNA
Source: RNAcentral
GACCUCAAAUCAGGUAGGGACACCCGCUGAACUUAAGCAUAUCAAUAAGCGGAGGAAAAGAAAAUAACAAUGAUUCCCCUAGUAACUGCGAGUGAAGAGGGACAAGCUCAAAUUUUAAAUCUGUUAGGUUAUCACCUGGCCGAGUUGUAAUUUGAAGAAGCGUUUUCUGCGCUCUUGAUCAGCCCAAGUCCUAUUGAAUGAGGCAUCAUGGAGGGUGAUAAUCCCGUCCGGUUGAUCAAUGCGUUUUACGAUACGCUUUCAAAGAGUCAAGUUGUUUGGGAUUUGCAGCUUAAAAUGGGGAGGUAAAUUUCUCCUAAGGCUAAAUAUUGGCGAGAGACCGAUAGCGAACAAGUACCGUGAGGGAAAGAUGAAAAGAACUUUGAAAAGAGAGUAAAAUAGUGCGUGAAAUUGUUGAAAGGGAAACGAUUGAAGUCAGUCGUAMCGAUGGACAAUCAGCCUUUUGAGUGCGAUUCUGUGGGGCAUGAGGAGGUAACCCUCGUGUUUUGCAUAUUUGUGCUCUUUGGGUGUAUUUGUUCGUAUGGUGGGUUAACAUCAAUUUUGGUCGUCAUAAAAUGACGGGAGGAAUGUAGCUUUGGUCUCGUAUUGAAGUGUUAUAGCCUCUGGUAGAUGUGACGACCGGGAUUGAGGAUUGCAACGGAUACCCCUCGGGGCUACUCGCCUGAUCUCUGAUCGUUACUCUGGUGCCGAAAGCUUGCUUAUGUCAUCAAAGUUGAUGGUCAAAAGGUUAGAACGGGUUAAAUUCGUUAAGGAUGUUGACGUAAUGGCUUUAAACGACCCGUCUUGAAACACGGACCAAGGAGUCUAACAUAUGUGCGAGUGUUUGGGUGAUAAAACCCGGAACGCGUAAUUAAAGUGAUUCUGGUGGGAACCCUUCGGGGUGCACCAUCGACCGAUCAGGAUAUUCUUUGAUAGAUUUGAGUAAGAGCA